GAUGAACGCUGGCGGCGUGCCUAAUACAUGCAAGUCGAGCGAACGGACGAGAAGCUUGCUUCUCUGAUGUUAGCGGCGGACGGGUGAGUAACACGUGGAUAACCUACCUAUAAGACUGGGAUAACUUCGGGAAACCGGAGCUAAUACCGGAUAAUAUUUUGAACCGCAUGGUUCAAAAGUGAAAGACGGUCUUGCUGUCACUUAUAGAUGGAUCCGCGCUGCAUUAGCUAGUUGGUAAGGUAACGGCUUACCAAGGCAACGAUGCAUAGCCGACCUGAGAGGAUGAUCGGCCACACUGGAACUGAGACACGGUCCAGACUCCUACGGGAGGCAGCAGUAGGGAAUCUUCCGCAAUGGGCGAAAGCCUGACGGAGCAACGCCGCGUGAGUGAUGAAGGUCUUCGGAUCGUAAAGCUCUGUUAUUGGGGAAGAACAUAUGUGUAAGUAACUGUGCACAUCUUGACGGUACCUAAUCAGAAAGCCACGGCUAACUACGUG
Molecule: ribosomal RNA, 497 nt
Filed under: uncultured bacterium
Lineage: Bacteria
Description: partial 16S ribosomal RNA
Rfam family: Bacterial small subunit ribosomal RNA
Source: RNAcentral